CAAUAGCGUAUAUUAAAGUUGUUGCAGUUAAAAAGCUCGUAGUUGGAUUUCUGGUGGGAGCGAUCGGUCUGGCGCUUAGCGCGAGUACUUGCAUCGUCUCCGGCCAUCCUUGGGGAGAGACUGUCUGGCAUUAAGUUGUCGGGCAGAGGAUCCUCAUCGUUUACUGUGAAAAAAUUAGAGUGUUCAAAGCAGGCUUAUGCCGUUGAAUAUAUUAGCAUGGAAUAAUAAGAUAGGACUUUGGUACUAUUUUGUUGGUUUGCGCACCAAAGUAAUGAUUAAUAGGGACAGUUGGGGGUAUUCGUAUUCCGUUGUCAGAGGUGAAAUUCUUGGAUUUACGGAAGACGAACUACUGCGAAAGCAUUUACCAAGGAUGUUUUCAUUAA
Molecule: ribosomal RNA, 383 nt
Filed under: uncultured eukaryote
Lineage: Eukaryota
Description: partial 18S ribosomal RNA
Rfam family: Eukaryotic small subunit ribosomal RNA
Source: RNAcentral